RNAcentral lists this ribosomal RNA (253 nucleotides) under uncultured bacterium. RNAcentral describes it as "partial 16S ribosomal RNA". It matches the Rfam family "Bacterial small subunit ribosomal RNA", at positions 524 to 776 of the family's 1533-position model. The record is from RNAcentral.
GACGAACCGUGCGAACGUUGUUCGGAAUCACUGGGCUUAAAGGGCGCGUAGGCGGGCCCGCAAGUCAGGGGUGAAAUCCCACGGCUCAACCGUGGAAGUGCCUUUGAUACUGCGGGUCUGGAGGGAGGUAGGGGCGUGCGGAACUUCCGGUGGAGCGGUGAAAUGCGUAGAUAUCGGAAGGAACACCGGUGGCGAAAGCGGCGCGCUGGACCUCUACUGACGCUGAGGCGCGAAAGCGUGGGGAGCGAACAGG